UUUUGCCGCUGACACUUAGAAAAUUUUGGGCUAAAAAUUUGUUUGCCUCCAAACCAAAAUCCCCAAUUCACACUUAGAAAACCUAAAACCCUUUUUGCCUCCAUUUUGCUCGACAUUCACAUCGAAACAAAUCUCAGUCUCUGUCUGAAGCUCUCACACACAAAUCUCUAUCUCAUUAGUUCGUCUUCUUCUCAUUCUAUCGAUUUCAGUCUCGAUUCUUUGUGUAUCUCAGUCUCGCGAAGGAGCACAGCAAAUCUAUCUAGCUCGAACCCACAAAUCUCUCUCGAACCCACAAAUCUUCAGUAUCUCAAACCCAGAAAUCUUCAGUCUCUAGAACCCAGAAAACCUAAAUCCAGCUUCCCCUUUAACUCGAUUUUCACUUUCCAAGUCUUGGAAACAAAAUCCCUACUGAAUCGAGUUUAUGCAAAGGUAAAAUCGGGUCUUUCUUUUUAACAAUAAACCAGAUACAGCUUUUAUGUUUGAUUUUUAGUAAUUUAGGGUUCUAGCUUGCAUGUUGUUUUGAUGUGUUUCGAUUGGGUUUACUAUUUUGCAGGAAGGUUUUGUUUAAUUCAAGUUCUUCUAGUGUCAAGGUAUGAUGUCUUCUAUGUGUUUCUCCUUUGAAUAUGUCUUUAUCUUAAAUGUUUCAUUCAGAUUUCUCGAUUUAUACUGUUGUGUUUCCUUCUGUAGCUCAAGUUAAGCAAAAGAGAAUAACAUCUAGCAGGUACCUCACUCACACUUGAUUCUUUAGCAGUUCUCUACUGUUGUUGUGGCUUACUUCUACUAUUCCUAAUAACCUUGUAUGCACAUUUGGUCGGAGCUACUUUAACAUGGAUAAAGCUUGGGUCUGGUUACCAAGGUUCCUCUGUUUAGGUGUAAUUGGGCUAACAAAGGAAAUGGAGUCAAAGUGGAAGAUGGUUUCACACUUGUGAAUCUCCAUCAGAAUCAGUCAUCAUACUUAAAUGAUCCUUUCAUACUGCCAUCACAAGCUAAACAAAUUUUCUACUCUAGAGAUGAUGAUUGCUCACCUUGGUAAUUGAGUACAAUGGAAACUGUACCAAACAGGAAAA
Molecule: long non-coding RNA, 1067 nt
Organism: Arabidopsis lyrata subsp. lyrata
Lineage: Eukaryota; Viridiplantae; Streptophyta; Magnoliopsida; Brassicales; Brassicaceae
Exons: 3
Source: RefSeq, a predicted model, not a curated record